This 2094-nucleotide long non-coding RNA is filed under the name Olea europaea (common olive). RNAcentral describes it as "long non-coding RNA (OEUR_LNC001993)". The record is from RNAcentral. Lineage: Eukaryota; Viridiplantae; Streptophyta; Magnoliopsida; Lamiales; Oleaceae.
UUGGCUACUGAUAGAACCCCCAACCUGCAGUACCAGUGGAAGCUCUUUUGAAUUGAUAAACAAUGAAAAAUCAAAGUAAAUUCUUAUUGGAAGAGUAAAUGAACAGAAUUGGUAACAAAUCCCAGGCUAUUCGAGAGGCCUAGUCUCUCCCCCUUGACUCAACAUACACGUGAAUGAAUAAUUCCUAACCCCCAACUCUCCAUUUAUAAGCAAUUCUUACUUGACUUAUUACAUUUUUGAUCCUACUAACUAACUAUCGAACCUUCUGGAUUAACAAAGAUGUGGCAGCAACCAUGUGAAUCGGUUUGGCAUCUAUCAUUACCCGUCGCUUCAAAAUCCACCUUGUCCUCAAGGUGGAGGCUGUUGAAUUCAUCAUACAAUCACACAAUUUCCUUUGUAAGAGCUCCAGUCUUGAUCACCGCGAAGAAGGGGCGUUUCAGCCUUUUGAAGUGACCGAACUUAUAUAAUCGAGCAACUCGCUCAAGUAUAGUAUCCGAGGCAACUCCAUAGCCUGUCGACCCUACCCAUAAAUUGUCCGAUUUUUUAACCUACCUCAUCGAAAUGAGUGUGUAGUUGAUCGCACCUCCUUUCUUCCCUUUCCAUUGGAGCUCAACAUCUGUAAGCUUUUUAGAUUCUGACACCCCCUUGUUAGUUGUUACCCACCAGAGCACUGUGAUGGCAGUCGAUCUAGGAAUGUACGUGACUUCAUUGGAAACAUGGAAUGCACUGAAAUGGUCAAGGGAACUUGAGCUAUAGGAAUUAAUUUUUUAAGAUGGGCCAUAAUUGAAAUGGGCUUGUUUCUUUUCUUUAUUCCUGACUUCAAUACGUUGGGCCAAUUCCUUAAAAUGGUCAAGUCCCUUAGAGUUAACAAUAUGGACCUCAGCCCAUUUAAAAGGCUUCAACCCCUGACGACAUUGCCUUUUAUCACCUCUUCAGGGACCGUCGGAAGUGGCACAGCCCAGAUCUCAAUAUGCUGCUGAUACUCUCUUUUAGUGGUUUCUUGUUUCAAUGCCAUAAACAUUUCCAGAUCUGCCCCUUCCUGCGAUGGGCGAACCCUCUUUAAUAGCGACGUCUUCAGAUUAUUCCCAUUCUUCAGUGGUUGUUGAUUGUUUGUUGAUUCUCCUUCCGCUGAUAAUAGGCCAGUGCUUUUCCUUCACAACAAAUAGCUGCGACCUCCAAUUUCUCCCAAUCAUAAAUUUGAUUCAAUUUGAAAAUUCUUUGCGAUCUACUUUUCCAACUGUCGAAAUUCUCAACGUCAAACCCCGACAUGCUCCGUAUCUCAGCCUUCCUAGGUUUAUCCCAGUGGUUCAAGCCUCCAUUUUAUGCACCAACUUCCUCCAAUUUUGGGAAAAUUUUAGAGGUGCUAGUGAGUUUCAGCCCCUUGAUGAGGAUAUGCUCCCGUACUUUGCUUGCGAUCGCCGGCGUUGGUGACGGUAAGGUUUUAAUUGAACUCCUGUCUUCCACGAUGGUGGAUUCUGGUGAGGAGGCUACUCGUGUACUCACCCCUGUUUUGUUGGUUUUGUUUGAAGUUUCCAGAGCAUUUCUAGUUCGAUUAAAUGUCUCCUUCUUAUCACGCUCUAGUCCAUCCCAUUUCUGCAUCAACAAAUCAAUUUUCUCCAUCCAUCGUGACAUACCCAUUUGAAUCUCAAAUUUCAUUGCCUCGAACUCUGAUUGCUGUCCAUCCAUCCUUAUUUCCAAAUUAUUAACCCGAUCUUCCAAUUUCUUUUCUUCAUCAAAUGUAGUAUCCCAAGCCAGAAUGGUUGCUCUGAUACCAUUUUGAUAGAACCCCCAACCUGCAGUACCAGUGGAAGCUCUUUUGAAUUGAUAAACAAUGAAAAAUCAAAGUAAAUUCUUAUUGGAAGAGUAAAUGAACAGAAUUGGUAACAAAUCCUAGGCUAUUCGAGAGGCCUAGUUUCUCCCCCUUGACUCAACAUGCACGUGAAUGAAUAAUUCCUAACCCCCAACUCUCCAUUUAUAAGCAAUCCCUACUUGACUUAUUACAUUUUUGACCCUACUAACUAACUAUCGAACCUUCUAGAUUAACAAAGAUGUGGCAGCAACCAUGUGAAUCAGUUUGGCAUCUAUCAGCUACAC